Molecule: long non-coding RNA, 1895 nt
Organism: Salvia hispanica
Lineage: Eukaryota; Viridiplantae; Streptophyta; Magnoliopsida; Lamiales; Lamiaceae
Source: RefSeq, a predicted model, not a curated record
AUUUCUCUCUUUUAUUUCAAGUGAGUGGUAGAUUAUUCUCCAAAAAUAAUGGUGACAUAUUUGAUUUUAGCGUUGCUCGAUUGGGACGGAGGAGUAAUAGAUGGAUCUUUGUGUUAUUUUGGUAUGGGAGGCAUUGGUAAACUAUAUCCAAGAAAAAGAGUGCUGAAUUUUGUUCCGGAGGAGUGAUCACGAAUUGAUGAUACGAGUCUAGGCCUAACUACAAAUCAGCCAGUUGGAGUUGGAAUCUAGGCAUCCACCAUUAUAGAAGAAGAGGCAUCCACUCCGGCUUGUCAUUUGCCGCCUUGGCCUCGGCCCUCUCCUUCUCAGCCUUUGCCAAAAUGCCAAAAUGCUGCAAGCUCCCUCACCCUCGCAUCAUUUUCAAGCAUCACUCUCUUGGGUGACGUACGCAAUUCCAACAGCCUCCUCUCACCGAGGGGUCUCCCACUCCCGCCAAUAGCCAAACGCACAACUGAAAUCAGAUUACACAUUGCACAAUUUCAGGAUUUAAUUGAAAUCACAAAACCAGAAGAAGAAGAAAUCUAAGAAGAAAUCUAGGCAUCCACCGUUAUAGAAGAGGAAGAAAUCUAGGCAUCCACCGAUAUAGAAGAAGAAGAUUGGGACUUUGAGGAAUCAUGAUGAUCACGGAAGAUUAUGAGAAAUCUAGGCAUCCACCGAUAUAGAAGAAGAAGAUUGGGACUUUGAGGAAUCAUGAUGAUCACGGAAGAUUAUGAGUGGGAUAUCUCCCAAAGUUGUCCAACCGGGUGUUGCACAGGGCUCUCCACGCCAUGGCAUCUGCGUUCCAUUGUUGCGCCUGGAUCCAACGAGCCUCCUGCUGUUCUUGGGUCACCGGCAGUUAAUUAGUAGUUAUUUUAUUAGUGCAGUAGUGGUUAUUAGUGGUAGUUAAUUUAGUAGUGCAUUAGUGGUCCGAGAUUCCCGAUGAGCCUCUACACAUCCAGGAUGUCGCACCGUAUAUGGAAGGAUGAAGAGGAGGCUACUGAGCAUGAGGUGAGCGAGAGCAGCCGGCCUAAGAGGAGAUGUCCAGUUGGCCGACCUUCUAGGGACGACAGAUAUAGCUGCUGAACAGCCUUCAGCUUGAUCAGUGGGAAAAGAUGCAAAAAUAACGUGAGGAUAAUCAGCUAUGGAGGGCCCAACAGGAGUGGGACGCAGAUAUAGCACCUGCAAGCUCAAGGAGACGCGGAGGAGCAGGCCUUCUACCAAGCCUACUAUGCAAGGCCCCCACCACCGUCCGACUAGAGAGAAAAAUUGAAUACGAGAAGGUUGGCCUCAUGCAUUAAUUUUGUGCAUUUGCGGUUGCACAUUCCUCAGCUUUCUGGUUCUGGAGACCUUAGAUUGGGCAGAAAUUUUCUGAGAGAGCGGAGACGAACUUCAGCCCCCUAUAAGGUUUCCACAUGUGAAUCAGAUGCUAUUGUUGGAUGUAGUCUGGAAUCCCUCGGUUGAAAGGCAGGGGAUAUCUUAUCCGUUGAAUGGUAGAUCGGAAAGCCAUUGGUAUUGGCGGCAUUGGAAAAGGAGAAGAGGAAAACCCUUUCACAACAACCGAAGGCUUGGGGCGCUUAUGUAGUGACACAUGUACGCGCCCCAUAGAAAUCGGUUCCAAGCCUCAAAGGUGGCUGUGUGGGUCCUAAGAAAAGGGUUGUGUCUCUGCUCAAACAGACAUCUCGUGUUACACUUGAGGAGAUUAAGCUCAAGUUUAUCGAUACUUGAUCGAAGUUUGGACGUGGCGUUUCCAGACAACCGAGGAGGAGCACAAGUAUUACGGCCCGGUCAACGCCUAAACCUUGAGUGUGACAAUUGUACAAUGAAAUAUACUUGCAUCCUUUUUAUUGUCAUCGAAAUAUAGACUAAAAUAUUCUUUUAUGCCAACUGUUACUUAUUCA